AGCUGUUUGAUUAGUGAUGAGGUGGCAGUGCUUCCAUAUAGCAUAACUAUUUCAAAUGUUUCACUGAUUGCUAGUCUGCUGAAAGUACUGGUUGUCAUCUUCACAGCCUUCCAUGACUCAGGCUGGAUGGCUAAUCCCAUCUUUUAAAGUCUGCAUUUACAUGAUGUCAUCUACAGAGCCUACCAAGUUACUGGACUCAUGAUCUAAUGACAUCUGCAUCACAUGGGGUUUAUUUGAUCACUCUGCUGAUGCCACUAUUACUAAAGCUCCCAUGUUCUACACCUUUCUUCUGUAAGACACCUCCAGACUGUUGUGAAUUCCAG
This is a long non-coding RNA of Crotalus tigris (Tiger rattlesnake), 323 nucleotides long. RefSeq lists it as uncharacterized. Lineage: Eukaryota; Metazoa; Chordata; Lepidosauria; Squamata; Viperidae. The transcript has 3 exons. The record is from RefSeq and is a predicted model, not a curated record.